RNAcentral lists this ribosomal RNA (460 nucleotides) under uncultured bacterium. Its description in RNAcentral is "partial 16S ribosomal RNA". It matches the Rfam family "Bacterial small subunit ribosomal RNA", at positions 338 to 795 of the family's 1533-position model. The record is from RNAcentral.
CCUACGGGUGGCAGCAGUGAGGAAUAUUGGUCAAUGGGCGCGAGCCUGAACCAGCCAAGUAGCGUGAAGGAUGACUGCCCUACGGGUUGUAAACUUCUUUUAUAAAGGAAUAAAGUGAGGCUCGUGUGCCUUUUUGUAUGUACUUUAUGAAUAAGGAUCGGCUAACUCCGUGCCAGCAGCCGCGGUCAUACGGAGGAUCCGAGCGUUAUCCGGAUUUAGUGGGUUGAAAGGGAGCGUAGAUGGGCUGUUAAGUCAGUUGUGAAAGUUUGCGGGUCAACCGUAAAAUUGGAAUUGAUACUGGCAGCCUUGAGUACAGUUGAGGUAGGCGGAAUUCGUGGUGUAGCGGUGAAAUGCUUAGAUAACACGAAGAACUACGAUUGCGAAGGCAGCCUACUAAACUGCCACUGACAUUGAUGCUCGAAAGUGUGGGUAUCAAACAGGAUUAGAUACCCCGGUAGUC